This is a non-coding RNA of Potamilus streckersoni, 73 nucleotides long. NCBI's taxonomy places the organism in Eukaryota, Metazoa, Mollusca, Bivalvia, Unionida, Unionidae. The record is from the annotation of a GenBank genome assembly.
GCUCCGGUGGCCAGGUGGUUAGAGCGUUAGCCUCGGACGCUGGAGAUCGUAGGUUUGAUCCCUGGUCGAGUCA